Long non-coding RNA from Pseudopipra pipra, 1413 nucleotides. RefSeq lists it as uncharacterized. The transcript is spliced from 2 exons. The record is from RefSeq and is a predicted model, not a curated record. Lineage: Eukaryota; Metazoa; Chordata; Aves; Passeriformes; Pipridae.
CAAGAGCCAGGCGGGAGAACUGCAGGCAAACCAGACCCACAUCUUCCAACCUGCACAUCUGGGAUUUCCAUCUGGAUGGUCCAAGAAUUUUUAUCUGAUGCCAGAUCUCAACUUUGCCAGUCUCAGCCAUGCUGGAGGAGCAGAGAUGCCACAUAAGGUGUGUCAGAUCCACCUGAACUGCCCUAGGAUUGCAUCCAUCCCUCAGGAAAGUCAGAGCAGCUGGCCCAAGGCACACUGUGAACACCUCUGGACAGCGACAACUCCUUUUAUAUUUACUCAAUACUACUUAAAAAUCAUCUGUGAGAGAGAGCUGCCUACGUGAGUUUUCUAGAUUCAACACUGAAGAACAAACACAGCAGGGAGAAGACAAGACCCUCCCAUGUUCAUAGGGAAAACACACCAAAGGACUGAAAAUAAUGUAGAAAAAAAUAUCUGUGACACCCAGCAGGGAGGGAAUUGGGAAGUGCUGAGAAAUAUUAACUCAGCUUCCAGCCUGGAAGUUACUGUGACCUGGCUGGGGCUGUUCAGGGUUUAUAUCCUGCCUCUGGUGUAUUCUGUUUCUUCCCCCUUCACUUUUACAGACCACUGCAGGGAGAAGCUCUUUUGACUAAAAAAUUGUCCUUCCAUUAAGAGUUCAUGAAAAGUGCAUUUGCUUGAAGUCAGUGAGGAAGAAAGAGGAGAGGAGACCAAGGGGAACCUGCCUCCAGCUUUGCCCUGGCAAUACCAUGGUGCUGGGAACCAUUAUCCUCGUGCUGUUCCUGGACACCAGUGUCCACAGCUGGGCUGGCAGGGAGCCCCUCUCCAGUGCUGCUGGUCCAAGAGGCUCAGCAGCAGCAUCCAAGAAAGGCUGGGAGCUGUGGGAAGCACGUGAGCUGCCCCAGCUCCCCCCACUCCUGCUGAUCUGACAGCUCCAAGGGUGCUCCUUGGCUUUAGGAGCUCAGCAUGGAUGGAUGGACACAGGGUGUGUGGGUGGGUGGAUGGAUGGCUCAGAGCACUCAGUGACUGUCCUGCCAAUACCUUUGAUCAAACCUGAUGCAGUUAAAAGUCCCUGGAGCAGGUCAGAAAUCACCUGCAGUGCCCUGGCCAGUUAGAGCCCAGUGUUAGCAGCCUCUCCCAUCCUCAUCUCCAGGCCCAUUUCCAGCGAUCCAUACAGGUCCCCAUCAGUCCUGGCCACAGCCAGCUCCCUCCCAGCCAGCCAGCCAAGGCCAUUAGUGUGAUUACUGGAGGUCAUGAAGUUCAAACCAAAAUGUCAAUUUUCAUUUGGAAGAAUGGUCCCAUUUUAGGAGCAAAGGGAAUUUUUUUUCUCCCUCAAAGAGACCCCGACUGUGAAAUCAUUGCUCCCCAAAGACUUGCAAAUUCCUGGCCAGCAAAAGGUGCCAAUAGCUGCUGGAGCCAAUAAAAAGAUUAACAAGG